Hyposmocoma kahamanoa is the source of this 411-nucleotide long non-coding RNA. RefSeq lists it as uncharacterized. The transcript has 2 exons. The record is from RefSeq and is a predicted model, not a curated record. NCBI's taxonomy places the organism in Eukaryota, Metazoa, Arthropoda, Insecta, Lepidoptera, Cosmopterigidae.
ACAGCUUUCGCCAGGAUUCUAGAAUAGCCAAUACCACAUACCUACGGACUUAAAAAUGUUUGGAAAAUCGGCAUUGUUCAUUGUGGUACUGACAUUGGCAACUGCAUUUGGUACCCCUGUCGGACUCGGAGGACUAGGAGCACUUGGAGGACUCGGCUAUAAUGGACUCGGUGGAUUUGGUGGAGGGCUCGGAGGACUAGGAUUGGGAUACGGCGGUAUGGGAGGCAUGAUGGCAAGACCUGGUCUAGGUGGUCUUGGUGGUGCUUACUUGGGUUAAGUCCUAUGAUCGAUAUAAAGGGUCUUAGGUCGUAGUCUAUUCUUUAAAGUGAAGUUUAUAACACAAAAUUUGUAAACUGUUAAUCAUCUAUUGUUCCAACUUUACGUCUAAGCCAGGCCAAUAAAACUAUGAUU